CCAUCUGAAAAACCCCACGUGUCAGGAAGUGAGGCGAGAACCCGUUCCUCCUGUUCUUUUGUGUUAUUGUGUCAUUUGCGUCAUUCCCUCUGUCUUCAGCCUGAUAUUCGCCGUCCGUCUUCCUCCAGGUAGCUAGAGAGGGUGUUACCUGUGGCCCGGUGCAUGAUGGGUAGUUUUGAACUCCCGACGUGCAGCACACAACGACACCGCUUGUUUCAGCGUGAACACAUUGUGUCAGCAAAGGAAACACCUCGAAAACCUUGAGACAGUAAAACGCUCUGUAUUCUGAGAACCUACGUUACAAAGGAGACACAGGGGAAAAAGUCUCAGCCUUGAAAUACAAUGGAGGAAAGUUAGACUACUUCAGAAAAUCUGAAACUCUUACUUUAGAACCAGACGCCAGCUCAUCUGAAACCUGAAUGUUGAACUUCGAGGUUGUCGCAGUGCUCCAGCAUAUCCGUUUGACCAGGCGGCACCCAAUGAUGACGACAGCAGCUCAAAUCGAGAGGUCGACCCGAGUCCAGACGGCUUAAGUGUGAAAAUUGAAAAAAAGUCAGCGAGGGAGGUGAACUCAAAUCCCUUCAGCAAACAGCAAAAAGGAAAAGGAGCGGAAAUGCGCCACAGGAAGUUGGGAAACAGAAGUCAACAAAACACAGAGGCCGUCUUUGUCCGUCCCGAUGCUGGCACAGCGUGUGGGCCUGAGCACCAGCACCAGUUACCCCCACACACUGGGAUCGCUUUAAAACGGGAAAUCACCUACAAGGAGAACUGUCCUUAAAAGACAAGCUUAGAAAUAUAGGAUCCGAUUCCCUAAAAAUACUGUUAAAUCCAAACAUCUUGGCAUUCGACUUUCACAUUACAGUUAACAGUCCAUUUCUCUGUCUUCUUUGCUCUCUCCUUUGUCCGUUACUACCAGUCUGUGAUAACAUGUCUCUGGACAUGAAACUGGCAGCUUUCGCUUCCCACACAAUUCCUGGAAACAGCUUCCGCCUAAAAAGUUUGAUCUGCAGCUGAAUUUGAGAUGUUGUUGAAAUGUUAAUGCCCAAAUUCCUUGGGCUUUGUGGAAGCUAUAGGGACUGAUUCUAAAAUAGUGUGGUCACUCUACCAUAUGUCUGAAACCAUAUGUCUGCAAAAGCUGAAACAAGUGUAACGUAAGACAGUGUGAACCUAGGGAGCACGUUCCAGCAUGUAACUCGUAGCGUUUUCUGAAAAAAACAUUGUGAAAUAGCAAAAUAAACAUAACUGAUUGAAUUCUCAUUCAUAUAAUAACAGAACAACAUUUUUAUCUCCAA
Betta splendens (Siamese fighting fish) is the source of this 1292-nucleotide long non-coding RNA. RefSeq lists it as uncharacterized. The transcript has 4 exons. The record is from RefSeq and is a predicted model, not a curated record. Lineage: Eukaryota; Metazoa; Chordata; Actinopteri; Anabantiformes; Osphronemidae.